Molecule: ribosomal RNA, 332 nt
Filed under: uncultured eukaryote
Lineage: Eukaryota
Description: partial 18S ribosomal RNA
Rfam family: Eukaryotic small subunit ribosomal RNA
Source: RNAcentral
CCCUUAGAUGUUCUGGGCUGCACACGUGCUACACUGGCAGGUUCAGCGAGCUUCAUGCCCUGAUCUGAAAGGAAUGGGAAAUCUUUUCAAAACCUGCCGUGCUUGGGAUAGAUGUUUGCAAUUAUUCAUCUUCAACGAGGAUUGCCUUGUAAGCGCACGUCAUCAGCGUGCAUUGAAUACGACCCUGUAUUCUGUACACACCGCCCGUCGCUCCUACCGUUUGAAGUUUUCGGUGAGUUGACAGGAGGAUUUUUUUGAAACUGGUUCGCCAGUGGAUUUUAGAUCCAAAUGCCAACGAAUCGAUGGCUUUAGAGGAAGGAGAAGUCGUAACA